Long non-coding RNA from Alligator sinensis (Chinese alligator), 393 nucleotides. RefSeq lists it as uncharacterized. The record is from RefSeq and is a predicted model, not a curated record. The transcript has 3 exons. Lineage: Eukaryota; Metazoa; Chordata; Crocodylia; Alligatoridae.
CCAGCCCCAGCCCCCUCAGCCACUCGGCAUUGUCACCUUCUGUAAAGAAAGAGGUCGGCAGCUGAUCCACUCUGAUGCGGCACAGGCACUGCUGGAGCAUCACAAGACCAUGUAGGUCCAACCACUCCUAGCUGUGGAGGAGGAGACUCGUUGCUGCUCCUACCUGGAGGAUGGGCAGCUGAGAUGGAGCAGCAGCAGCGUCACCAGCCCCUGCCUUUGCAUGUGAACACCCGGCAGCCAGACGGGCGCAGGUCUCCUCUGCUGCAGCCGCCCGCCUGGGCCUGUCCCUGUCCCAUACAUUCCAUUUACGCAAAAGACUGGAGGGAGGGGUUGGUUUUUUUGGCACUUUUAAACCCAUUUUGGACACCUUUUCCCGGCGCCGGACAUGACACU